AGCGGCAACAGCUCAAAUUUGAAACCUGGCGCAAGCCCGGAUUGUAAUUUGCAGAGGAUGCUUCUGGGCAGCGGCCGUUCUAAGUUCCUUGGAACAGGACGUCAUAGAGGGUGAGAAUCCCGUAUGUGACCGGCGCGCACCCUCCACGUAGCUCCUUCGACGAGUCGAGUUGUUUGGGAAUGCAGCUCUAAAUGGGAGGUAAAUUUCUUCUAAAGCUAAAUAUUGGCCAGAGACCGAUAGCGCACAAGUAGAGUGAUCGAAAGAUGAAAAGCACUUUGGAAAGAGAGUUAAAAAGCACGUGAAAUUGUUGAAAGGGAAGCGCUUCCAACCAGACUCCGCGGCGGUGUUCCGCCGGUCUUCUGACCGGUCUACUCGCCGCCGUGGGGCCAACAUCGUCUGGGGCCGUCGGAUAAGACCGGAGGAAUGUAGCUCAUUAUUGAGUGUUAUAGCCUCCGGUGAUGCGGCGCGUCCCGGGCGAGGUCCGCGCUUCGGCAAGGAUGUUGGCGUAAUGGUUGGCAGCGGC
This 523-nucleotide ribosomal RNA is filed under the name uncultured fungus. RNAcentral describes it as "eukaryotic LSU rRNA". It matches the Rfam family "Eukaryotic large subunit ribosomal RNA", at positions 97 to 648 of the family's 3401-position model. The record is from RNAcentral. Lineage: Eukaryota; Fungi.